UCUGAUAGUACCAAGGUGUGACAGCCUGAUUUUUGGCCCUUUCUUUUUCUUUUGUUUUUCUGAGGUUUUUGCUUGAGUUUUCUUUUUACGUGGCUUUGUGGUCUGGAAACUGAAGAAGAUGCCCUCUUCUUUGUUUCCAGAGUGGCUUGUCAUUCCCAAACCCUUCCCUAGACCCUGUCAUUUUCAUCCUAGCCCAAAUCCCAAUAUUCUUUUUAUUGGGAAUAUUCCUUUUCUAUUAAAGGAAUAACUCAAAUUGCCCUAGGUUGUGAAGCAACCUUUAUUCCCAUCACUCCUAAAAUUCCCAAAUAAUUCUCAUAAAUUGUUUGGGUCAUAUCUUUCUCAAAUAUGGCAAAAUAUUUCAUUUAUCAUGUUUAUCAUCAUGCUCAAAUAAUUCAUUUCCUAUUCUGCCCUAAAUGGCACAUUGUGAAGCAAGUGCUAUUUUCCUUUUCCCAAUUGACCUCAAACUCCUUGGACACCUUUUCAUGUCCAUAUCAUUGCCACAUGCCAAAAUGCAACCUCAUUUGCCUAGUAAUUAUUUAAUUAUGAUUUUGCAAAGUUUCUAUCCAAAAAGAAGCUUUGUGAAGUAGGUGCAAGCUAGGCAUAUCCAAAUGAGUUGCCAUUUUGCAUGAUCGCCGGAAAGAUCACUGUGGUAUCGAGGAUACCGAGUUGUUGGAUAUUCGUGAUGUUGUGCGAGAAUCGUGGGUAAAGAUCAAGCUCCUUGUGGUCAUUUGAUGAUUACUACGGUAUUGUUUAUACCAAGCUUGAUUUGAUACUGAGAUGAUCGUGUAAUGUCCGAGGUUGGUAAGUGAUGCAUGUGAUGGUUACAAAGUAACCCGAGCAGAAUAAAUGAUGCAUGUAGUGUCAUCAUGUUGCAUGCUAGUAUCAUCAGAUUUAUAUGUUCUUGCCAUGAUCAUAUUGUUCUAGCAGUAUUAUGUUCAUGUUGUUCAUGUUAUGUUAUCCUGAUGAUCUUUUGAUAAUUCCUUCUUAACCUGUAAUUCCAUGCUGUUGUUUGUCUUGAAUGCUUCUGGUUAAUUGUGAGCUUGCAAGUACAUUCAAUGUACUGACCUGGCGUGUCAUGCCAGCUUGCAGGUCAUGCUUGGAUUGCUUGCUUGUUUGGUGUUGUUCCUGUGUUGCGAGCUAGGAUAAGCGUUCCAGCCAGAGUCCCUGCGGAGUGGAGUUCACCACCGUCGUCGUUGUUCCGCUGCUAGAGUUAUUCCGCUGCUUCGAGUUGUUCUGCUGCUUGCAUAGAGCAACUGAGGAUGGUGUAGUGUCACCAUGCUGAUGUUAUUCAUUGUAAUAUCGGAGACCUUGUAUUCAUAUUCAUGUAAUAAUAGGAAGCUGGUUUGUUCUAUGCUAAGCAGUGCCGUAUUCCAGAAGACUUCUCCUCGAUCUCUGGGCCGGAAUACAGGGCGUUCCGGUUUUCUCUGAGCCGGGGUGCCAUAGGCUUGGUAUCAGAGCAGGUCUGGCUGUAGGAUGCCUUAGCUCGCGCGAAUGUUAGAAAGCGGUAGUAUAGACCCCAGUUGGUUUGUUGCACUUGAUUGUUGCAUUUGUUUGUCGCAUAGCAUGCAUAUAGAUUAUUAUUUUGUCACUAACGGUUAAUCUUGUGAGUGUAGACGACAUCGUUUUCGGUCCACCGCAUGCACCCUCCUUCUUAGCAUGUCUGCUCUUUGAUGUUCGGCGUCAUAUCUGUCCCAGCAGAGUGAUGCCCUGGUACCCAGAGUUCCAGACACCAUUUGCAGGAGUUAUUCUCAGGCAUCGCGUAGAUUUUUCCGCCACCCACCCAUAUUAUUUCGGUGAUUGACUUGUUUCUAUCCCGAAUCAUGCCAUCCAUCUCGUCCCUCUGGCAACCCUUACUGAUCUUGGUUAUCAGAAAAGGGCAAUGCCAGCGAGCCUUGUUUUUCCACCGAUACCCUACCCAGUCAUUCUAUUCUUUGGACGUGUACGAAUCCCUUUCGUACGCUUGAUGAUGAUGUGGCCGUGACAUUUGUGUCUCGCUACUUGAUCGUCAAGUCCAUCCUCACCUGUGUAUCCAUCCAGAUCCAGCCACUGUUCAGCCAGUGCUUGGUGUAGCUUCGGUUACGCCAACUCCUUCCACACUUGGAUAUAAUUUUCGUGCACACCGCCACAGCAUAUUAGACCGUAAUACCGGUGUUUCUGCGCGAUUUGUGUGCUUAGGUGUGCAUGCAUACUAUGGUGUGAGUAGCAGUAAUAUGUGAUGAUUGCUUGAUUAAUUAUAUUAGUAGUAUGCUUGUGUGCUUUUGUUUCAGUCGUUUCUUUUGUUUCUUUCUUUGGGCCUUCGGUGUUACAAAUUUUUCCCCUAUUAAAGUUGCUCGUCAGCCGACACCGGACCCUAAGAGUCAGCAAGAAAUGCCUAUAUUUGGAAACUCAGCUAAACAGAAUGGAAUUGUCAGCAGACUACAGUGAAAUUGGAAAUAGCUCAUUUGAAUACAAAAGAAAUCCUGGAUGGAAUGUCAGUAUAAAGUUUGCAUUAACAUGCACUCCUCACAACAGUAUGGAAUUCUCAGCCGACUGCAUUCAGAUUGGGCGAUAUCUGAUCAUGUUACUGGGUGUCAAGUCUCCCUCAGCGUGCACUCCUCAUAGCAGAAAUGAUCAAAUCAGCAAGAAGAUAAAUUGUGUGCAAGGUUGACAGAAUAUUAUCAAAUGUAUGGCUCAGAUACAAGUUUAUUUUUUCCGUUGAGGAUGAUUUUGGAACCCGAUGUACCUGGAAGCAAGCAAAAAUAUGGCAUGUACUCAGAAAGGAGGAUAGUCCUGCAAAACCACAUUUCAUACAAGAAAUCAAUAACAAAAUUAUUAAGAUGGUUAUAUAUGUGGAAAUCCGUCCGCAUAUCACAAUAAGAAGCUUCUGGUGUAAGCAACCCAAUCGUCCCACGCAAGAUACCUGAGAAGCUUCCAAGGCAAGAUUCAUCUAUCUUCCUUAGUACGAUACAUGGAUGAUUUCCCGUACAAGGUACUCUGCCUUCUUCAGUAAGCAACCGCAAAAGCUUCCGGCAUAAGGUACUGAGUCUUUCCCCAGCAAAGUCUUUAAGGGGGUAAGCUUUUGAAGCACGAUAUCCAGUCUUCUUCAGCAAGCUGUCCGAUGAAAGUUUUGAGCACAAGCCAGCCAAUCUUCCUCAGUAAGACUUUGGUACAAGAUAGUACGUUGUGAAUUGACAUCAUAUGGCAGUGCAUCCCAAGAAUCAGAUCCGCAACAUUUUGGUCCGAAGCAAGAAUCAGUCAGAAUACACGUCUGUCUCGGGAAUCAGAUUCUCAUAUAUAUGCGGUGGGCAUACCACCAAGAUCUUACAAGUCACUCGGAUGAGGAUCUGACAACCACGUGAGGAUGGUUAAGAGAAGAAAUCCAGUAUACACCGCAGUGUGACAAAGGAUUAUGAGGAUUGACGACAUCAAUGAGCUCAAUACAAGUACCCGUGAACCUGGAAAAUGAUCCUGAUGAGCCCUAGUCCCCCUUUUUUCUCCAAUGACGGCACCACGCCUGUGAUCUAAGCUGUUUUUAGCUAUCCGGGGUGGAUGCCGAUUUUUAUUUCUCUCUUCAACGACUGUCACGAGUUCUGAGCUGCUUUUCGGCCGUCUCGUACAACUGUUGAGUUUCUUUUUGUGACAGUAGCCCUAUAGCUGCUUUUUGGCUAUUUUAGGGAGCUGCCACCUUCUUCUUAUCAACCCGGUCUCAUGUUCUGAGCUACUUUUCGGUCGUCCUGAGCCGUGGUUGAGUUAUUUCAGUAAUGUCCCAGAUCUGAGUUGUAAAGACCGUUCUGGUGGCUACUGAUUUAUUUGCCGAUUUCUUGCAAAGGUUCGGAUGAUCAUUUUCCUGCGGUCAUAACUUGAGGGGUGUUGAACCUGCCAUUUAAUAGGGCACCCUGUCAGAAAAAUGAGGAUAAGCUACGAUUGCCGAAAAAUUGCACCGACAGUACCUAUGGUGAUACGAAGAAGCAAUAUGACCCAACUCUUUCAGCCAAGGAUCCAGACCAAGAAAACAAUAAUGAAGGAGCAAGACCUGUGAUGCACGUAUCAAAAUUGUUGCAAGACCCGCGAGGUGCAAAACCACCGUCAGUCAAGUCUGCAGAUAUUAUCAUACAGGUCAAACUCUUAUGCUAGCCACGACAGGCGACAAACAAAUAUUUGGUACGGAUCCGAUACUCAAGACAGUGGAACCAGUUAAGAUGAUUCAGAAACUUCCGCGAUAAGCCAGAAUCUGUCAGGAAAGUGGUUAUGACCCAACUCACUGUUUGGGACCCGAAGGACCUGUAUUUAGUGGAGAAACCCAAUGCAAGGAGUUAGAGCUUGGGUGUCCACUAGAAAAAUCUGAUCACCAAUUCAUGAAAGAUUCUCAGUGCCGGAUGACACACCCAGCGGAAAUCACUCUUGGAUUUGUGAGACCGACAUAUAUUUCAGUCGUGAGAAUCAAUCACAGUCAGCUAAGUCAGCAGAUCCAAAAAUAAAUUGGAGCAUGUAUAAGCAUGAGCAAGCAAGGUAAGAUCUGUCAGAAUAUGGAUAUAUUAAAGGAAACCACCCCAGGGCCAGUCAAAUAAAAAUUUAGUGGGAACAAAAAUAAGAAAAAGGAUACCCGAGUUGGAAACGGUUUCCUUAAGUCAGUAUCUUCAUACUUUUUCCCCGAGCAACCAAAUCUCGAGGAUGAGAUUUUUUUAAGGGGGUAAGGUUUGUGACAGCCUGAUUUUUGGCCCUUUCUUUUUCUUUUGUUUUUCUGAGGUUGUUGCUUGAGUUUUCUUUUUCCGUGGCUUUGUGGUCUGGAAACUGAAGAAGAUGCCCUCUUCUUUGUUUCCAGAGUGGCUUGUCAUUCCCAAACCCUUCCCUAGACCCUGUCAUUUUCAUCCUAGCCCAAAUCCCAAUAUUCUUUUUAUUGGGAAUAUUCCUUUUCUAUUAAAGGAAUAACUCAAAUUGCCCUAGGUUGUGAAGCAACCUUUAUUCCCAUCACUCCUAAAAUUCCCAAAUAAUUCUCAUAAAUUGUUUGGGUCAUAUCUUUCUCAAAUAUGGCAAAAUAUUUCAUUUGUCAUGUUUAUCAUCAUGCUCAAAUAAUUCAUUUCCUAUUCUGCCCUAAAUGGCACAUUGUGAAGCAAGUGCUAUUUUCCUUUUCCCAAUUGACCUCAAACUCCUUGGACACCUUUUCCUGUCCAUAGCAUUGCCACAUGCCAAAAUGCAACCUCAUUUGCCUAGUAAUAAUUUAAUUAUGAUUUUCCAAAGUUUCUAUCUAGAAAGAAGCUUUGGGAAGUAGGUGCAAGCUAGGCGACGACAGCUCGGCCUCCCCUCCCCGCGGCUAUAUAAGCC
RNAcentral lists this long non-coding RNA (5301 nucleotides) under Triticum aestivum (bread wheat). Its description in RNAcentral is "long non-coding RNA (TAES_LNC028580)". Lineage: Eukaryota; Viridiplantae; Streptophyta; Magnoliopsida; Poales; Poaceae. The record is from RNAcentral.